GAUGAACGCUGGCGGCGUGCCUAAUACAUGCAAGUCGAGCGAACGGACGAGAAGCUUGCUCCUCUGACGUUAGCGGCGGACGGGUGAGUAACACGUGGAUAACCUACCUAUAAGACUGGGAUAACUUCGGGAAACCGUAGCUAAUACCGGAUAAUAUUUUGAACCGCAUGGUUCAAAAGUGAAAGACGGUUUUGCUGUCACUUAUAGAUGGAUCCGCGCUGCAUUAGCUAGUUGGUAAGGUAACGGCUUACCAAGGCAACGAUGCAUAGCCGACCUGAGAGGGUGAUCGGCCGCACUGGAACUGAGACACGGUCCAGACUCCUACGGGAGGCAGCAGUAGGGAAUCUUCCGCAAUGGGCGAAAGCCUGACGGAGCAACUCCGCGUGAGUGAUGAAGGUCUUCGGAUCGUAAAACUCUGUUAUUAGGGAAGAACAUAUGUGUAAGUAACUGUGCACAUCUUGACGGUACCUAAUCAGAAAGCCACGGCUAACUACGUG
Molecule: ribosomal RNA, 497 nt
Filed under: uncultured bacterium
Lineage: Bacteria
Description: partial 16S ribosomal RNA
Rfam family: Bacterial small subunit ribosomal RNA
Source: RNAcentral